Molecule: ribosomal RNA, 433 nt
Filed under: uncultured bacterium
Lineage: Bacteria
Description: partial 16S ribosomal RNA
Rfam family: Bacterial small subunit ribosomal RNA
Source: RNAcentral
AACGAACGCUGGCGGCAUGCCUAACACAUGCAAGUCGAACGAGACCUUCGGGUCUAGUGGCGCACGGGUGCGUAACGCGUGGGAACCUGCCCUUAGGUUCGGAAUAACUCCCCGAAAGGGGUGCUAAUACCUGAUAAUGUCUUCGGACCAAAGAUUUAUCGCCUUUGGAUGGGCCCGCGUUGGAUUAGCUAGUUGGUAGGGUAAAAGCCUACCAAGGCGACGAUCCAUAGCUGGUCUGAGAGGAUGAUCAGCCACACUGGGACUGUGACACGGCCCAGACUCCUACGGGAGGCAGCAGUGGGGAAUAUUGGACAGUGGGCGAAAGCCUGAUCCAGCAAGGCCGCGUGAGUGAUGAAGGCCUUAGGGUUGUAAAGCUCUUUUACCCGGGAUGAUAAUGACAGUACCGGGAGAAUAAGCUCCGGCUAACUCCGUG